GUACGAGGAUGACAACACCUAGCCAACCCGCGGAGAAGGCGGUCCUGGCACAGGCUAGGUGCCUUCUGACUGUUGGUUGAUGCAGGAAUAGACAUGAUCAUGUGACUGCUGCCCUCCCUCCAACCCCCAUCCAGCAGGGAGAGGCCCACUCUGGCCUCUGGAAGCCGGAGAAGAGGCUCACCUGCCCAAAGGCCUUCUGUCCAAAGUUCAAGGGAGCCCCACCCCUCCCAGAUGCUCAGCUCACCCCACCCCCAACAGGCAGGGCUACAGUGUGGUGGGCACUGCCACACCCGGACCUGCCACAACCUCUUGGAGUCAGUGACAAGAACCAAACGCACCCCAGCCUCCACCCCUCCCCUUUCCUGCUUUUAUUAUUUUCUUUUCCAUAAAGAUUAGUCUGUGUUGCUCCUCUAUCAAGGCCUGGAGGAUAAACAUGUGGUCCGGAGGCAGAGAAACCCCAGGCCUGAAGGCCCCACUGCCCCCACCCCAGCAGCAUAAACCCAGGGCUUUUAAGCAAGGAAUGGUUUUCAGUAAAUCUCUCCUAUCAGCAGAAACCUUUGAAAGAGUUUGUUUAAAGGCCAGGGAGAUAAACAGCAAGGAGAAGUGUUUGUUUAAGAUGUAUGUUCUGUGUGGCCACUCUGGGGCCCGGAUUUACAUCUCUGGGGAGAGGAACCACUCGGAGGCCAGGGUGGGGGCCUUCCAGGGGCACCUUGGGCUCCCGGUGUGGACUUCAGCCCAGGCAGGGACCCAUGAGCUCAGGGGAGGGAAGUUAGCUGGACUGCACUCACAGGCCUCUCCAGGCUUGGGGCAAGAAAGCAGGGGCUGAAAGGAGCUGCAGGAAGGGAAGAAGCCCUGUAAAGGAGGGGAGGGGUGCCUGGAAGGACCUGCUGGUUGGAAUGCAGGCAGAAAUCCCCUAGGAAGCCACCAAACACACACACACACACACACACACACACACACAAAGCUCAGAACAGGCUCAGGCUCAAGGCCCACCCCAAACAGCCUCAUACUCAGCAGCCCAAUACACAGCUGGGUAUGGCCAGCUCUGUGACCUUGGACAAGCCACCUAACCCAGAACUAGAGCCCUAGUUCCUCUCUGCUGUGAAAACAACACACCUGCCUCAAAGGGUUUUGAGUUUUCCUCCUGUCAUUUGACAGAUAUCGCUUGUACACCUACCGUAUGUCAGGCACUGUUCUAGGUGCUUGGGAUGCAACAGUAAACAAAAUACAGCCUCUGUCCUUUUGGAACUUAAAGAGGAGGAAGAUAGGCAAUGAGCACAAUAAUCAGUAAAUUAAAUACUCUUCGGAAGGUGACAUGAGCUAUAGAAAGAAAUAAAGCGGGUACAAAGACCUGGGAAAGGAUGGUUAGGUUGGACCUCCCAGAGAAGGUGGUCCUUCAAGGAGAUGCAGGUAUCUGAGGGGAGAGAAGCUCAGGCAGAACCCUCAGCCAGGGCAAAAGCCUGGAGGAUUGAAUAAAAUACCUUAGGGUAGGUGCUGAAGCAUAGUCCUGUGGUCAGUAAAUAACGUCCAAUGUUGUCAUUAUACUGAAGCAGUUACUGAGGCCUGGGAUGGGCAGGGAAGCCUUCAGGGAGGAUGCAGGACUUAAGCUGGGUUUUCCCUGGAAUUCCUUCUCCCUGCCAAGUGGAGAGAAAGGCCCUGCAGAAAAGCAUCAUGGAGGUAGAGAGACAGGAGAAUGAUGGCAGAGCUCAUUCCCCAAACCCAGUGGUGGCCAAGGGGUGUAGGGACCAACGCAGCUGGAUUCUCAAGGAAAGUCUUUGGCCUGGGUCAGGAGUCUGGGCUCCCAGUUCUGGCUCUGCCCCUUGCUGGCAGGUGAUUUGGGGCAAGUGAUUUGAAGCUUCUUGCGUCCUUCUUUUCUCUACGGUAAAAUGGGAAUAAUAUAUCCUCCCUUCAUUGAAUUGGUUGAGAGGAUGAAAAGAGAUAUGGGGCCAGGCGCAGUGGUGCACACCUGUAAUCCCAGCACUUUGGGAGGCCGAGGCGGGCGGGUUGCCUAAGCUCAGGAGUUUGAGACCAGCCUGGGCAACACAGUGAAAUCCCAUCUCUACUAAAAUACAAAAAAUUAGCUGAGCAUGGCGGCAUGAGCCUGUAGUCCCAGCUAUUUGGGAGGCUGAGGCAGGAGAAUUGUUUGAACCUGGGAGGUGGAGGCUGCAGUGAGCUGAGAUCGUGCCACUGCACUCCAGCCUGGGUGACAGAGCGAGACUCCGUCUCCAAAAAAAGAAAAAAAAGAAAAGAGAUAUGGUGGGUGUUUCUGCCUGGAACAUAGCAGAUGCUCAAUAAACAUUGGAUUUGCAUUUUGGGCUGUCCUGUGCCCUUUCAGACUCCUUUUGGGCACUUUCCUGAAAGGAUGAGCCAGAUGGUGAUGAGUCUACUGGGUCCCAGACUUGGAGGAGAAGACGACUAAUAGCUGAGCAUGGUCCCCACGUAGCUGAAGGGCUGUCCCGCCAGAGAAAGCCUAGAUUUGUUCCAAAGGGGCUCCAAAAGGAAGGAAGAAGUUUCACGGACACAGAUUUUCAUUUGCACUCAGGAGGAAUUUGGCAAUGGUCCGGGCUAUUUAACAGCAGGAUGGACCUCUAUAGAGACAGCUAGCUCGUGCUAUUAGGAAUUGUGUGGGCAGAGGUGGCUGAG
This 2643-nucleotide long non-coding RNA is filed under the name Homo sapiens (human). Its description in RNAcentral is "HSALNT0106129". Lineage: Eukaryota; Metazoa; Chordata; Mammalia; Primates; Hominidae. The record is from RNAcentral.